AUUUCAUAAUGGUGGAUCCAUGGGAGGCACGGACCAUAUGCAGAGAGUAUGGCAUGGUUUCAAUUCGCAGAGAAGGGCAAGAUGUUGAGAAAAUUAUAUCUGAUGACGAAAUCCUGAAUGGAAACAGGAGUAACAUCAAAGUGGUGGAUGAACUUGUACCAAACUCAGUCAGCUCAACAAGAGUGAGGGAAUGCAUUUCUAGAGGUUUGUCGAUAAAAUAUUUAACAAUGGAUGGGGU
RNAcentral lists this unclassified non-coding RNA (238 nucleotides) under Hevea brasiliensis (rubber tree). The record is from RNAcentral. Lineage: Eukaryota; Viridiplantae; Streptophyta; Magnoliopsida; Malpighiales; Euphorbiaceae.